AACGAACGCUGGCGGCAUGCCUAACACAUGCAAGUCGAACGAGACCUUCGGGUCUAGUGGCGCACGGGUGCGUAACGCGUGGGAACCUGCCCUUAGGUUCGGAAUAACUCCCCGAAAGGGGUGCUAAUACCGGAUAAUGUCUUCGGACCAAAGAUUUAUCACCUUUGGAUGGGCCCGCGUUGGAUUAGCUAGUUGGUAGGGUAAAAGCCUACCAAGGCGACGAUCCAUAGCUGGUCUGAGAGGAUGAUCAGCCACACUGGGACUGAGACACGGCCCAGACUCCUACGGGAGGCAGCAGUGGGGAAUAUUGGACAAUGGGCGAAAGCCUGAUCCAGCAAUGCCGCGUGAGUGAUGAAGGCCUUAGGGUUGUAAAGCUCUUUUACCCGGGAUGAUAAUGACAGUACCGGGAGAAUAAGCGACGGCUAACUCCGUG
Molecule: ribosomal RNA, 433 nt
Filed under: uncultured bacterium
Lineage: Bacteria
Description: partial 16S ribosomal RNA
Rfam family: Bacterial small subunit ribosomal RNA
Source: RNAcentral